Molecule: long non-coding RNA, 2872 nt
Filed under: Mus musculus (house mouse)
Lineage: Eukaryota; Metazoa; Chordata; Mammalia; Rodentia; Muridae
Description: long non-coding RNA chr18:74489626-74492498
Source: RNAcentral
AGCCAGGAUGGUUCUGCGUGAUUGGCAUGCUGCUCCUCAGUGAACUUGGAUUUACAGAUGGAGGCCAACAUGAGUAUUCCUUGUUGCUGAUUGUCAGACCCAGGUUACUCUUUAAACGCUUGGUUCCGCUCUAGUUGUUGUAAUGUUUCUCAUGUCACAGUGGCCUUCUGGAGGAAGAGGGACAAUGACAAAGCUCCUGUGAUGGGGACUUUGGGUUGCUGGUACCCAUAUUGCAAAGCAAGGCAGGCUCGUGAGACUGAAACAUUGAUUGCCAGUCAGAUUCCUUUCAACCCAAGGCUCAUGUACACAGGUCCUACUGAGAGGUGAGGCCACAUGUCCCACUGAGGGGUGAGACACACAUAUCCUACUGAGGGGUGAGACACACAUGUCCUGCUGAGGGGUGAGACACACAUGUCCUGCUGAGGGGUGAGACACACAUGUCCUACUGAGGGGUGAGACACACAUGUCCUACUGAGGGGUGAGACACACAUGUCCUACUGAGGGGUGAGACACACAUGUCCUACUGAGGGGUGAGGCCACAUGUCCAACCUUUGUUGGAAAGUGGUUGACGUAGUUGUUUUGUUGCUUGCCAAGGUUAGCUUCUCUUCUUCCAUCUGACCCCCAUGGUAGGAUUACACCCUUUCACCCUGUUGAAGUGACCUGAGUGUGACCUUGAGCUAUGUCUUCAUCAUCCGCUUUCCUCCCUGUCAUAGUAACCACUGAGCUGGUGACUAUGAAUUCAGGGCUAUUCAACCCACCUGAAUUCCGGAACAAAGCUGGCCUUGUGUAGAACCUUCAGCCAACUGACAACGGUCAGGGGGAAGCAAAUGUUGGUUGGAUGCAUGUGAAAUUUUGGGUAGGUCAGAGCACAAAAGUAUUCCGAAUGAUGCAUUCAGUUGUUAGGCUUCUGAUUCAACUUCCAACAAUACAGAUGCUCCAAUCUAAACAAAGUAAGCCCCAUUGGCCCUAGAAGCAAUUACAUAAUUCCUUUGAAAAAAUUGACCUUUUUUUUUUAAACUACAUACAAACAACUAAAUGUUUGUUUUUAUUUUUUGAGUGUCUUGGGGUGUUAACCAGGCCAGCCUUGAAUUUGCAAGCCCCUGUCUCAGCAUCUUGGGUAGUUGGUCACAGCUGUGGAAAACGCUGACUAGCGCCUGGUAGCUUUCACUAAUUUAAACUCCCAAGUCUUUUGUCAUUGCUUGGCUCUAAUGUUUCUGAGAGGUGAUAGGGAAUGUGGGGGUCAACAACUCUUAACUGCAGUAGGCUAGCUGACCUUGCUGUUUGGCUCUGUGGGACAUCUCAUUUCAUGUCAGCAUGGCCAUUUGUUUGCUAUGCAUUAAAGAAUUUAACCUUGCACAUAGGCUAUCUGGCCUUUGUCAUGAUCUAGCAAAAUUAGAGACUGAAAAUGCCAGAACAGCCAUGGUAUGCUAUAGAGUAGAAUCUGGUCACAGCAUGGUGAGGUAUAUGGCUAUUGCAGAAAAAUCAUUUAUUGUGACUUAUGAUGGAGACUCAGGGUCAUGCCUCAAGGAAGGGAUGGAGACUGAAGUCAGUCAUGUGGAUAGUCACACUAAUGGGACCCCAUUAAGUCGUUGAACACCAGAGCUCAGUCGAGUUCCUAUGGUUAACACAUUGUUAACACAUUGUUAACCCUUGUUCCUGGGCAGUGCCCUGUGUGUUUUCCUUUGGGUGGUCCUAACCUUGUGCUAAGUUCUUUGAGGCUCCUAAGCUAUAAUCAAAUCUGAAGACCUCUGCACUUUGAGGUGGUGUCAGAAGUGAGAGCAGGUACAGGACUGUGUUCCUUCUAAUUGGACCAGAUCUUAUCCGUUUGUACAUCAUCUGUCUCAAGACUCUACUGGAAGGUUAGGAGUGCAGCUCAGUGGGAAAGCAUGUGCCAAGCUGGAUUCGAUCCCCACCAUUAUGUUAUAGUUAGAAACAUCAGAGCACUCUUACAUUUAGUUUAAACAGAAUGUAUGUGUAUGGGAGUUUUGCCUGCGUGUAUGCAUGUAUGUGUAUCAUGUACGUGGGGUGUCUGUGAAGGUCAAAAGAAGGCAUUAGAUCCCCCUGGAAAUGGAGUUACAAAUGCUUGUGAGCCAUCCCAUGCCUGUUGAGAAUUGAACCCAGGUCCUUUGGAAGAGUAGCAAGUCCUUUUAACCUCUGAGACGUCUCUCCAGUCCCUUGAAACAAACUCUUGUGGUGUUAUUCCAACCUCAUCCUGAGCUGGACUGCAUGGUUUGCUUUCCGUCUAUUUAUUGCACAUAUUAGAAAGGAUAAUGUGGUUUUCUGGGGGCUUCGGGGAUUUGUUUCCUAUAGCAGGUGUGGUGAAUAAAUAGGUGCACUGCCCUUGCUCUUUUGACUGUGGAACUACCAGACCCACAAGGGCGACAGAUAUCCUCCACAAUUCCCCAAGUUCCAGUAACUGAAAGAUUCAUUCUGUAAUAAUAAUAAUAAUAAUAAGAAUAAGAAUAGUUAUUAUUAUUAUUAUUAUAAUCCCUUUAGCUCUGUGUUCACCCAUUAUUUAGGUCUGUGUUUGAGAAGAGUUGCUUCCUUUUAGGUUUUUGUUUCUUUUAAUAAUGGCAUGUAUUGCUUUCCUUGAACAUUGUGCAGAUAGCAGGCAAACAAUCUCCUCCUCCCCAAAUGGUAGCUAGUAACCUCAAGCAAGCAGCUUAAGUCACUUAGAUGUUAUGUCCAAAGCCACACAGAAGAAUCUUCGGAGUUUCCCAACAACAGUGAGUUUUAUAAAAUGACCUCAUUUUGAAAAAAAUAACUAAGCAUAAAAACACACACCUAAUAACCUGUGUUGUCUUUCUUAGGGGUUCAGCCAAUUAAUUUAUGCCAAGGAUUCCCUCCCAACCACUGGGAAAUGAUUGCAAGU